RNAcentral lists this ribosomal RNA (497 nucleotides) under uncultured bacterium. Its description in RNAcentral is "partial 16S ribosomal RNA". It matches the Rfam family "Bacterial small subunit ribosomal RNA", at positions 28 to 507 of the family's 1533-position model. The record is from RNAcentral.
GAUGAACGCUGGCGGCGUGCCUAAUACAUGCAAGUCGAGCGAACGGACGAGAAGCUUGCUUUUCUGAUGUUAGCGGCGGACGGGUGAGUAACACGUGGAUAACCUACCUAUAAGACUGGGACAACUUCGAGAAACCGGAGCUAAUACCGGAUAAUAUUUUGAACCGCAUGGUUCAAAAGUGAAAGACGGUCUUGCUGUCACUUAUAGAUGGAUCCGCGCUGCAUUAGCUAGUUGGUAAGGUAACGGCUUACCAAGGCAACGAUGCAUAGCCGACCUGAGAGGGUGAUCGGCCACACUGGAACUGAGACACGGUCCAGACUCCUACGGGAGGCAGCAGUAGGGAAUCUUCCGCAAUGGGCGAAAGCCUGACGGAGCAACGCCGCGUGAGUGAUGAAGGUCUUCGGAUCGUAAAACUCUGUUAUUAGGGAAGAACAUAUGUGUAAGUAACUGUGCACAUCUUGACGGUACCUAAUCAGAAAGCCACGGCUAACUACGUG